AUUGAACGCUGGCGGCAUGCCUUACACAUGCAAGUCGAACGGCAGCACGGGAGCAAUCCUGGUGGCGAGUGGCGAAUGGGUGAGUAAAGUAUCGGAACGUGCCCAGUCGUGGGGGAUAACGUAGCGAAAGUUACGCUAAUACCGCAUACGAUCUAUGGAUGAAAGCGGGGGAUCGCAAGACCUCGCGCGAUUGGAGCGGCCGAUAUCAGAUUAGGUAGUUGGUGGGGUAAAGGCUCACCAAGCCGACGAUCUGUAGCUGGUCUGAGAGGACGACCAGCCACACUGGGACUGAAACACGGCACAGACUACUACGGGAGGCAGCAGUGGGGAAUUUUGGACAAUGGGCGAAAGCCUGAUCCAGCCAUGCCGCGUGCAGGAUGAAGGCCUUCGGGUUGUAAACUGCUUUUGUACGGAACGAAAAGGUUUGGGCUAAUAAGCUGAGCUCAUGACGGUACCGUAAGAAUAAGCACCGGCUAACUACGUGCCAGCAGCCGCCGUAA
RNAcentral lists this ribosomal RNA (500 nucleotides) under uncultured bacterium. RNAcentral describes it as "partial 16S ribosomal RNA". It matches the Rfam family "Bacterial small subunit ribosomal RNA", at positions 30 to 523 of the family's 1533-position model. The record is from RNAcentral.